RNAcentral lists this ribosomal RNA (253 nucleotides) under uncultured bacterium. RNAcentral describes it as "partial 16S ribosomal RNA". It matches the Rfam family "Bacterial small subunit ribosomal RNA", at positions 524 to 776 of the family's 1533-position model. The record is from RNAcentral.
UACGUAGGGUGCGAGCGUUAAUCGGAAUUACUGGGCGUAAAGCGUGCGCAGGCGGUUUUGUAAGCCAGAUGUGAAAUCCCCGGGCUUAACCUGGGAAUGGCAUUUGGGACUGCAAGGCUGGAGUGUGGCAGAGGAGACUGGAAUUCCUGGUGUAGCAGUGAAAUGCGUAGAUAUCAGGAGGAAUACCGAUGGCGAAGGCAGCCCCCUGGGUCAAAACUGACGCUCAUGCACGAAAGCGUGGGGAGCAAACAGG